Non-coding RNA from Macrostomum lignano, 304 nucleotides. The record is from Rfam. NCBI's taxonomy places the organism in Eukaryota, Metazoa, Platyhelminthes, Macrostomidae.
CUUCACAGGUUAACCCGUGGCCUGAGUGAGGAAGGCAAUGUCCUUGCUAGUCACUAUUUGUGGCGACAUCUCCAAAUUGCGUGAAACCCGUCAUACAGCUUCAAGUACCACUUCAAUUGAGAAAUCUUUUGAAGGAACAGAGGUAACUCCUCUUCCCAAAGGUAAAAAGCUUGAAGACACGGUGGCAAUGCGCAGCCAAGCUCCUAAGUAUUUUAAAUAUAAGGAGAAGGUUCAGAGAGCAGACGGAGAUGGGCGGUAAUUAUCGCCGCUUAAGGUGUGCUCCAGCCUCUUUCGAAAGAUUGAG